CAGUCGCCGCGGUAAGACAGAGGUCCCGAGCGUUGUUCGGAUUCAUUGGGCGUAAAGGGUGUGUAGGAGGCCAGGUAAGUCAGGUGUGAAAUCUCAGAGCUUAACUCUGAAACUGCGCUUGAUACUGCUUGGCUAGAGGAUCGGAGGGGGUAACGGAAUUUACGGUGUAGCAGUGAAAUGCGUAGAUAUCAUAAGGAACACCGGUGGCGAAGGCGGUUACCUGGAAGAUUCCUGACUCUGAAACACGAAAGCCAGGGGAGCAAACGGGAUUAGAUACCCCAGUAGUCCCUGUCUCUUAUAC
RNAcentral lists this ribosomal RNA (301 nucleotides) under uncultured bacterium. RNAcentral describes it as "partial 16S ribosomal RNA". It matches the Rfam family "Bacterial small subunit ribosomal RNA", at positions 509 to 807 of the family's 1533-position model. The record is from RNAcentral.